UGCAAUGAUGAUUUACGAGACUAGAGUCUCUGAUUUUCAAAAUGAAGCUCUUUCACAGUGCACUGAGCA
Hippocampus comes (tiger tail seahorse) is the source of this 69-nucleotide small nucleolar RNA. The record is from Ensembl. NCBI's taxonomy places the organism in Eukaryota, Metazoa, Chordata, Actinopteri, Syngnathiformes, Syngnathidae.